This 1038-nucleotide ribosomal RNA is filed under the name Klebsiella michiganensis. RNAcentral's name for it is "partial 23S ribosomal RNA". It matches the Rfam family "Bacterial large subunit ribosomal RNA", at positions 1766 to 2801 of the family's 2925-position model. The record is from RNAcentral. Lineage: Bacteria; Pseudomonadati; Pseudomonadota; Gammaproteobacteria; Enterobacterales; Enterobacteriaceae.
GCUGAAAUCAGUCGAAGAUACCAGCUGGCUGCAACUGUUUAUUAAAAACACAGCACUGUGCAAACACGAAAGUGGACGUAUACGGUGUGACGCCUGCCCGGUGCCGGAAGGUUAAUUGAUGGGGUUAUCCGUAAGGAGAAGCUCUUGAUCGAAGCCCCGGUAAACGGCGGCCGUAACUAUAACGGUCCUAAGGUAGCGAAAUUCCUUGUCGGGUAAGUUCCGACCUGCACGAAUGGCGUAAUGAUGGCCAGGCUGUCUCCACCCGAGACUCAGUGAAAUUGAACUCGCUGUGAAGAUGCAGUGUACCCGCGGCAAGACGGAAAGACCCCGUGAACCUUUACUAUAGCUUGACACUGAACACUGGUCCUUGAUGUGUAGGAUAGGUGGGAGGCUUUGAAGUGUGGACGCCAGUCUGCAUGGAGCCAUCCUUGAAAUACCACCCUUUAAUGGCUGGUGUUCUAACGUGGGCCCGUAAUCCGGGUUGCGGACAGUGUCUGGUGGGUAGUUUGACUGGGGCGGUCUCCUCCUAAAGAGUAACGGAGGAGCACGAAGGUCAGCUAAUCCUGGUCGGACAUCAGGAGGUUAGUGCAAUGGCAUAAGCUGGCUUGACUGCGAGCGUGACGGCGCGAGCAGGUGCGAAAGCAGGUCAUAGUGAUCCGGUGGUUCUGAAUGGAAGGGCCAUCGCUCAACGGAUAAAAGGUACUCCGGGGAUAACAGGCUGAUACCGCCCAAGAGUUCAUAUCGACGGCGGUGUUUGGCACCUCGAUGUCGGCUCAUCACAUCCUGGGGCUGAAGUAGGUCCCAAGGGUAUGGCUGUUCGCCAUUUAAAGUGGUACGCGAGCUGGGUUUAGAACGUCGUGAGACAGUUCGGUCCCUAUCUGCCGUGGGCGCUGGAGAAUUGAGGGGGGCUGCUCCUAGUACGAGAGGACCGGAGUGGACGCAUCACUGGUGUUCGGGUUGUCAUGCCAAUGGCAUUGCCCGGUAGCUAAAUGCGGAAGAGAUAAGUGCUGAAAGCAUCUAAGCACGAAACUUGCCCCG